GAUGAACGCUGGCGGCGUGCCUAAUACAUGCAAGUCGAGCGAACAGACGAGGAGCUUGCUCCUCUGACGUUAGCGGCGGACGGGUGAGUAACACGUGGAUAACCUACCUAUAAGACUGGGAUAACUUCGGGAAACCGGAGCUAAUACCGGAUAAUAUAUUGAACCGCAUGGUUCAAUAGUGAAAGACGGUUUUGCUGUCACUUAUAGAUGGAUCCGCGCCGCAUUAGCUAGUUGGUAAGGUAACGGCUUACCAAGGCAACGAUGCGUAGCCGACCUGAGAGCGUGAUCGGCCACACGGGAACUUAGACACGGUCCAUACUCCUACGGGAGGCAGCAGUAGGGAAUCUUCCGCAAUGGGCGAAAGCCUGACGGAGCAACGCCGCGUGAGUGAUGAAGGUCUUCGGAUCGUAAAACUCUGUUAUUAGGGAAGAACAAAUGUGUAAGUAACUAUGCACGUCUUGACGGUACCUAAUCAGAAAGCCACGGCUAACUACGUG
Molecule: ribosomal RNA, 497 nt
Filed under: uncultured bacterium
Lineage: Bacteria
Description: partial 16S ribosomal RNA
Rfam family: Bacterial small subunit ribosomal RNA
Source: RNAcentral